GAAACCGUUUAGGGGUAAACCUGAGAAACCCGAAAGGUCGAAGGAAGAAAUUCAUUCGUGCCCGAUAAGGUUAUUAUGCAAAUAUGGUGUCGAUUUAUGAACUUGUUCAUUUUUUGCCCUAUUGUAUGAUAUAUGUACUUUGUUGGACGCGUGCACUUUUCUUCUGGUAGGACGUCGCGAUCCGUUGGGUGUUGAUCUACGAUUUAAGUGGUAGCCCAUUUUAGAUAAACCUUAAAGUUUAUUUAGAAUGGACCCUUAGAAUUUGAUCAACUGGCUCGACGGUAUAUCUGAUGGUUUUAGGACGCUUUAUUUUAAAGAGCGUUCAGCUUGUAACAAGCACGUUAAAUGUUUUGGUACAUCGGACCUAGUGCCGUGUCUGAUCCUUAACGUCUGUUGGUUACUUUUGUCUUGAACAGUUCUUAAAACCGAUCAGCGACGAUAUAGCUUUGGGUAAUUUCAGGACCCGUCUUGAAACACGGACCAAGGAGUCUAGCAUGUACGCAAGUCAUUGGGAAACACAAAACCUAAAGGCGUAAUGAAAGUAAACGUUUUCCUUUACGGUUAACGAUGGGAGGAUGGUCAUUGUUUAACAAUAAUGUUCAGCACUCCCGGGGCGUCUCAUUCUCAUUAUGAGAAGAGGCGCACCAUGAGCGUACACGCUGGGACCCGAAAGAUGGUGAACUAUGCCUGGUC
This 693-nucleotide ribosomal RNA is filed under the name Cryphalus sp. PNG_pronotal_mycangia. Its description in RNAcentral is "eukaryotic LSU rRNA". It matches the Rfam family "Eukaryotic large subunit ribosomal RNA", at positions 401 to 842 of the family's 3401-position model. Lineage: Eukaryota; Metazoa; Arthropoda; Insecta; Coleoptera; Curculionidae. The record is from RNAcentral.